GUGGGGAAUUUUGCGCAAUGGGGGAAACCCUGACGCAGCGAUGCCGCGUGAAGGACGAAGGUCUUCGGAUUGUAAACUUCUUUUGCGGGGGAAAAAUCUGCACGUGAAUAACGUGCAGUGAUGGUACUCCGCGAAUAAGCCACGGCUAACUUCGUGCCAGCAGCCGCGGUAAGACGAAGGUGGCGAGCGUUACUCGGAAUUACUAGGCGUAAAGCGUGGGUAGGUGGUUCGGCAAGUCUGUUGUGGAAGCUCCUGGCUUAACCGGGAGAGGCCAAUGGAUACUACCGGGCUUGAAUGUGGGAGAGGUCGCUGGAAUUCCUGGUGUAGCGGUGAAAUGCGUAGAGAUCAGGAGGAACACCGAUGGCGAAAGCAGGCGACUGGACCACUAUUGACACUGAGCCACGAAAGCUAGGGGAGCAAACAGGAUUAGAUACCCUGGUAGUCC
This 445-nucleotide ribosomal RNA is filed under the name uncultured bacterium. RNAcentral describes it as "bacterial SSU rRNA". It matches the Rfam family "Bacterial small subunit ribosomal RNA", at positions 354 to 796 of the family's 1533-position model. The record is from RNAcentral.